UACAGAGGAGCCAAGCGUUGUCCGGAUUGACUGGGCGUAAAGCGCACGCAGGCGGUUGCGCGCGUGGGGUGUGAAAUCUGGCCGCUUAACGGCCAGGCGCCAUCCCAUACGGCGCGACUGGAGUGAUGCAGAGGUCGAUGGAAUUUCCGGUGUAGCGGUGAAAUGCGUAGAGAUCGGAAGGAACAUCAGUGGCGAAGGCGGCUACCUGGACUGACACUGACACUGAGGCGCGAAAGCGUGGGGAGCGAACAGG
This 253-nucleotide ribosomal RNA is filed under the name uncultured bacterium. Its description in RNAcentral is "partial 16S ribosomal RNA". It matches the Rfam family "Bacterial small subunit ribosomal RNA", at positions 524 to 776 of the family's 1533-position model. The record is from RNAcentral.